GCUUUUAUGACUUAGUGGCGGACGGGUGAGUAACGCGUGAGUAACCUGCCUUUCAGAGGGGGAUAACAGUUGGAAACGACUGCUAAUACCGCAUAAUGUACAGUAAUCGCAUGGUUGUUGUACCAAAGCUGAGGCGCUGAAAGAUGGACUCGCGUCUGAUUAGAUAGUUGGUGAGGUAACGGCUCACCAAGUCGACGAUCAGUAGCCGGACUGAGAGGUUGAACGGCCACAUUGGGACUGAGACACGGCCCAGACUCCUACGGGAGGCAGCAGUGGGGAAUAUUGCACAAUGGGCGAAAGCCUGAUGCAGCAACGCCGCGUGAGGGAAGACGGUUUUCGGAUUGUAAACCUCUGUCUUUGGUGAAGAUAAUGACGGUAGCCAAGGAGGAAGCCACGGCUAACUACGUGCCAGCAGCCGCGGUAAUACGUAGGUGGCAAGCGUUGUCCGGAAUUAUUGGGCGUAAAGCGCGCGCAGGUGGUUCUUUAAGUCUGAUGUGAAAGCCCCCGGCUCAACCGGGGAGGGUCAUUGGAAACUGGGGAACUUGAGUGCGGAAGAGGAUAGUGGAAUUCCAAGUGUAGCGGUGAAAUGCGUAGAGAUUUGGAGGAACACCAGUGGCGAAGGCGACUGUCUGGUCUGUAACUGACACUGAGGCGCGAAAGCAUGGGGAGCGAACAGGAUUAGAUACCCUGGUAGUCCAUGCCGUAAACGUUGGGCACUAGGUGUGGGGGACAUUCCACGUUUUCCGCGCCGUAGCUAACGCAUUAAGUGCCCCGCCUGGGGAGUACGGCCGCAAGGCUAAAACUCAAAGGAAUUGACGGGGGCCCGCACAAGCGGCGGAGCAUGCGGAUUAAUUCGAUGCAACGCGAAGAACCUUACCAAGGCUUGACAUGAACCGGAAAGACCUGGAAACAGGUCCCCCACUUGUGGCCGGUUUACAGGUGGUGCAUGGUUGUCGUCAGCUCGUGUCGUGAGAUGUUGGGUUAAGUCCCGCAACGAGCGCAACCCUCGUUCUAUGUUGCCAGCGGGUUAUGCCGGGGACUCAUAGGAGACUGCCGGGGUCAACUCGGAGGAAGGUGGGGACGACGUCAAAUCAUCAUGCCCCUUAUGUCUUGGGCUUCACGCAUGCUACAAUGGCCGGUACAAAGGGUUGCGAUACUGUGAGGUGGAGCUAAUCCCAAAAAGCCGGUCUCAGUUCGGAUUGAGGUCUGCAACUCGACCUCAUGAAGUUGGAGUCGCUAGUAAUCGCAGAUCAGCAACGCUGCGGUGAAUACGAUACGGGGCCUUGUACACACCGCCCGUCAA
RNAcentral lists this ribosomal RNA (1303 nucleotides) under uncultured bacterium. RNAcentral describes it as "bacterial SSU rRNA". It matches the Rfam family "Bacterial small subunit ribosomal RNA", at positions 81 to 1400 of the family's 1533-position model. The record is from RNAcentral.